Long non-coding RNA from Dromaius novaehollandiae (emu), 2946 nucleotides. RefSeq lists it as uncharacterized. The transcript is spliced from 3 exons. The record is from RefSeq and is a predicted model, not a curated record. Lineage: Eukaryota; Metazoa; Chordata; Aves; Casuariiformes; Dromaiidae.
GGAGAGGGAAGGAGAGGGAGAGGGAGACCGAGAGCGAGCGAGCGGGGAAAGCAACAACUGAGGAGAAAGUGAGCACAAAACAGAAAGUGAAAUCACCCCCGGCUGCCAGCCGCAUCCCCGAGAAGCUAUCACCACUCACAUUGCUAUUAGACAAAUGAAACCUUAAACCUCUCUGCUCUAAUGACCACUGAUUGCCCGGAGUGGUGAGGAAAGGCUAAAGAUAGCCACAGAAGCCAGCGCAGCCAGAUGUUGAGGAGGGAUGCUGAACUGCUGUGGGUCCUUGCAGAGGGAAGGAAUCAGAGGCUCUCAGUUCACGUUGGAGCACUUACCUGUUCACAGCCGUCACUGCAUUUUGCGCUCUCUUCGUAAAUACAUUAACGUAAAGCAAUGUUCAAUAAGCAAUGCAACCUGUGUGCUAACUUUCACACACCGCAGCUUUAAGAUGAGCAAAUCUGCAACUCCGGCAGAGUUGGUAGAACAGUCUCUGAAGUUUUGAUUCAAAGAGCAAGAAACUCCACGUUACAAGUCAUUCACACAUUCACAAGCUAUUCUCCCCAAUUAAUGCCGAACAAUUAACAAGCAUCUUUAUAAAUUCACUCUGCUGACACUCUCCGACAAUGAAGACUUUUUAUAGGCUUGUUGAAAAUGUUCAGAGAAAUUUUGUAAAAUAAUCAACUGCAUUUAAGAGAAAGCUAAAGGAAAAGAAGUUAAAGCCUGAUCACACGAUUGGAAAAAAGUUUGGUUAGACUAGAUAAAAGCAGAUUACUGCACAUUUCUUCACAAUCAAACCCAUCAGCUGAUGCGUGUUCCCCUAGAACAGGAACCUCUAGAGAUUUUCUCAAAAUUUAGGGGACGUUUGCAUUUUAUUACACCCAAAGCAAAAGAUCUGACUGAAAACAAAAACUCUGAAUUCCUUAAGACGUCAUCUGUUAACACAAUGUAUUGUCCUGGCGGAAACAGUAUCAAAUAAAAGGUUUUAAUUUCAUUUGAAACUGUAUAUCAUCUUGAUAGAGAAGCAAAAAGCCGCAGCAACAACAAUCUCCCCACUCCACCCCCCCGUUCCAAAAAAAAAAAAAAAAAAAAAAAGGAAAAACCACAUAAACUUUUACAAAGAAAAUAAAAGCAAGUUUGACAUGAAAACCCCUUCCUGUCUCGGAAAGUUCAUUUUAAAGGUCCCCUCUGUAAAUCUAAAGUGCAAACACCAGGCUAAGGUAGUGAGUGGCUGGAAUUUGCAUGCUGAUAAGAGAAGGCUGUUGUACUUACAGUGACAGAGGGCAGGCUGCGGAAGAAAAGCUGUUUGUGUUAGCCUGAGAGUCACCCAGGGCUGCAAUGAGAGCAGAAGAGAGGAGUGGGAGUGCCAAGCUGGAUACACCUUCACCGCAUCUCAUCACAUCUGCCAGCCUCUCUCUCCCUCUCUCUUUCAUUUCCACAUUCCCUUUGUUCCUGAAAAAAAAAUCUACACGUCACAUCAGUCCCCAGAUGCAGUCUACACCAAAGAAAAAAAUGAAUAAUUCAAUCAAACUGUGCAUAGUCUCUAAGGCAAUAAAUCUAUUGCACUUAAAGAAACGAAGGGUAAUUACCACUAUAGAAUUAGAAUAAGGCCAGAGAGCGCAGGGAUCCCAGGGUCUGUAAACUCCACGGUCAAAUAAAGUUUCAUUUAUUUAAUCCUUUGACAACCCCAGUGUAAACUAAAGGGGAGGAUCAGAACUUAUUCCGUGUGGGUUUGAGAAUGCUUGAAGUGAAUGUUAUAAAAGCAGAGCGCCCGUGAUCUCUAAUAAACACAAUGCAAGGAAGUAGAAGUGUUUCACUGCAUCACCUCCAGGGUCCGAUCCCCCCUCCCUAAUGAAGAGCAGACCACACUCCCACUUCCACCGGCUUCUGCCGCUCUCUACAAGUGCAACGGGAAUCGCUGGCAGCGAGCAGCAGCCUUACCUGCUCCUAGAUUUCAAAUAAAGCCUUACAAAAACUCAUGGUAACCGGCAAUUUUGUUCCACGCUCUGGCGGAGAGAAACCAUGGGGAAUUUGCACCAGCAAGGAGUGAAUAGGAACGUUGUCCCUGACUUCUGGAUUUGUCCUGGGCUGAGUUUAGGGGAAUGCCUGCCGGGGGCGGGGGGAACACGCUCGGGAGCGGAGCCCAGGCAGGCAGGCGGCAGCAACGCUGUAACAGAGCCCUGCGACGCACCGACCUAGGUAGCAUAGAGAAGAGCCACAGUUUUCCCUCUCCUACCUCUAACGUUGCACUGCCGGCUCGGAGGGUGGCGAAAAAGAGAAAAUUGCAAAGACUUACCGGGUGGCAGGAAGUGGGAUUCACUAUAAUCAACAGCAGCAGGGGACUCUUUGAGGUUGUGUUGCAAGAUACAUUCAAGAUUUUAGCAGAAAGAAAAUAAUUGCAUUUAAUAUUGUGCUGGUGGGAAAUAACAUAUGUACAAUCUUUUCCAGCUUUUAGACUUACAUUCAGAUUUAGACUCUUGCCCUUAAGAUGCAGAGAUACUGCUCCUUAAGAUCUGGAGACAUUAUUUUUUUUAGCACACUUAAGCAGAGGAUGUCCUGUUACUAGUAAGCUAGAGUUUUGUGCUAUUUGCAAAUUUUACUUCAAAAAUUUACCAAGGUUUCAUGAACAUACUCACUGGACAAGCUGGAUAAAGAGCUCUGUGUUCUGUAACCAAGCUAUUAUCAAAACAUAAGUAAGUUUCUGGCACUAUUUUGUUCUAGAUUUUAUAUGAAAAAUUCAGAAAUUAUAGGUUUUUGCAGAUGUUUGCUAAAAAUGUUUUUCUAGGUCAAACCACUACACUCCUCAUACAGUUAAAACUUCUUUAAAAUUGAUGUAGUUCUGUCUGAGUAAAGACUGACCUGCUAGGCUGAGGGAAUAAUUGAAGGCUGUUAUUAUGAAAAAGUUGCAGGUCAUAUAAAGGUUUUCUGCACUUAGGAGGAAUGAAAAUUUGUGCA